This 734-nucleotide ribosomal RNA is filed under the name uncultured Cellulosimicrobium sp. RNAcentral's name for it is "bacterial SSU rRNA". It matches the Rfam family "Bacterial small subunit ribosomal RNA", at positions 28 to 776 of the family's 1533-position model. The record is from RNAcentral. Lineage: Bacteria; Bacillati; Actinomycetota; Actinomycetes; Micrococcales; Promicromonosporaceae.
GACGAACGCUGGCGGCGUGCUUAACACAUGCAAGUCGAACGAUGAUGCCCAGCUUGCUGGGCGGAUUAGUGGCGAACGGGUGAGUAACACGUGAGUAACCUGCCCUUGACUUCGGGAUAACUCCGGGAAACCGGGGCUAAUACCGGAUAUGAGCCGUCCUCGCAUGGGGGUGGUUGGAAAGUUUUUCGGUCAGGGAUGGGCUCGCGGCCUAUCAGCUUGUUGGUGGGGUGAUGGCCUACCAAGGCGACGACGGGUAGCCGGCCUGAGAGGGCGACCGGCCACACUGGGACUGAGACACGGCCCAGACUCCUACGGGAGGCAGCAGUGGGGAAUAUUGCACAAUGGGCGAAAGCCUGAUGCAGCGACGCCGCGUGAGGGAUGAAGGCCUUCGGGUUGUAAACCUCUUUCAGCAGGGAAGAAGCGCAAGUGACGGUACCUGCAGAAGAAGCGCCGGCUAACUACGUGCCAGCAGCCGCGGUAAUACGCAGGGCGCAAGCGUUGUCCGGAAUUAUUGGGCGUAAAGAGCUCGUAGGCGGUUUGUCGCGUCUGGUGUGAAAACUCGAGGCUCAACCUCGAGCUUGCAUCGGGUACGGGCAGACUAGAGUGCGGUAGGGGAGACUGGAAUUCCUGGUGUAGCGGUGGAAUGCGCAGAUAUCAGGAGGAACACCGAUGGCGAAGGCAGGUCUCUGGGCCGCAACUGACGCUGAGGAGCGAAAGCAUGGGGAGCGAACAGG